This 263-nucleotide unclassified non-coding RNA is filed under the name Hevea brasiliensis (rubber tree). The record is from RNAcentral. Lineage: Eukaryota; Viridiplantae; Streptophyta; Magnoliopsida; Malpighiales; Euphorbiaceae.
GAGGUUUUAGAAGCAGCAGGGGGUGCGCUCUUUCGGUGCAGCGUGCCAGGACAUGGAGAAAUCAGUGGCAACGCUAGACAAAGGCACGACGUGCUCGGCGUGGAACUACUGUGGGCAGAGAUUGGCCACAGGCUCCGUAGACGGGAGCCUAUCCAUUUUCGACCCGUGUGACCCCGCUUCUUCCUCCUUUUCCUGCACUUCAUGAGGCUCGUAUCGUGAAGGUUGUUUGGGUUCCUCCUGAACAUGGUGAUGCAAUAGCCUGC